AUACGGAGGGUGCAAGCGUUACUCGGAAUCACUGGGCGUAAAGCGCGCGCAGGCGGGCUGAUAAGUUGGAUGUGAAAGCCUACGGCUCAACCGUAGAACUGCAUCCAAAACUGUCAGGCUAGAGUGUGGGAGAGGAAGAUGGAAUUAGUUGUGUAGGGGUAAAAUCCGUAGAGAUAACUAGGAAUACCAAAAGCGAAGGCAAUCUUCUGGAACACUACUGACGCUGAGGCGCGAAGGCGUGGGGAGCAAACAGGAGUAGAAACCCCAGUAGUCC
Molecule: ribosomal RNA, 274 nt
Filed under: uncultured bacterium
Lineage: Bacteria
Description: partial 16S ribosomal RNA
Rfam family: Bacterial small subunit ribosomal RNA
Source: RNAcentral